This 427-nucleotide ribosomal RNA is filed under the name uncultured bacterium. RNAcentral's name for it is "partial 16S ribosomal RNA". It matches the Rfam family "Bacterial small subunit ribosomal RNA", at positions 354 to 796 of the family's 1533-position model. The record is from RNAcentral.
GUGGGGAAUAUUGGGCAAUGGACGCAAGUCUGACCCAGCAACGCCGCGUGAAGGAAGAAGGCUUUCGGGUUGUAAACUUCUUUUAAGGGGGAAGAGUAGAAGACGGUACCCCUUGAAUAAGCCACGGCUAACUACGUGCCAGCAGCCGCGGUAAUACGUAGGUGGCAAGCGUUGUCCGGAUUUACUGGGUGUAAAGGGCGUGUAGCCGGGAAGGCAAGUCAGAUGUGAAAUCUGGAGGCUCAACCUCCAAACUGCAUUUGAAACUGCUUUUCUUGAGUAUCGGAGAGGUAAUCGGAAUUCCUUGUGUAGCGGUGAAAUGCGUAGAUAUAAGGAAGAACACCAGUGGCGAAGGCGGAUUACUGGACGACAACUGACGGUGAGGCGCGAAAGCGUGGGGAGCAAACAGGAUUAGAUACCCUAGUAGUCC